This 1119-nucleotide long non-coding RNA is filed under the name Oryza sativa Indica Group (long-grained rice). RNAcentral's name for it is "lncRNA OsLima_04g0023960". The record is from RNAcentral. Lineage: Eukaryota; Viridiplantae; Streptophyta; Magnoliopsida; Poales; Poaceae.
GACGCGGCGGUGAUUUUGUCGGGCGGAGCGGCGGCGUUUCCAUCGGGAGGAGCGGUGGCGAUUCCGUCCAGUGAUUGUGCAGUCCUGUUGCGCAGUUUGCGGGAGGUGAAGUCUUUGGUUUGCUGGUGGCUACGACGCGGCUGUGAAGUUGGAGCUGAUUUCGUCAUGGGUCAUAGAAAAAGAUCAAAAGUGAAUAUUUCUAGUGAAUCUAACAGUGACAAUGAUUGUAGUUUGAGUUCUGAUAAUCAUGAUGGUGAUGUUCAUUUAUCUAAUCAUGAUGAAAGUUCUGAUAAUCAUGACCAACAUUUUGAGGAAAAUGAUCCUUUGCUUCAUUUAACUAAAGAAGAGCUUAUGAAGAAAUUGAAAAUAAAGCUUGGUAAAAGGCCAUUUACAGAUGACCAUAAAAAGAAGAGACAUAAAGUUGAAUCAGACUCAAUUAUCGAUGAUGCAUUGUUAGAGAUUCACAAUGAUCUAGUUCUCCAUUCUUUGAAAAUGAAAUUAAGCAUGCUUGGUGAACAGUCUAAAAAUAAGAAUGAUCUUAUGAAACACCCUUCAAAAACUAAUUUUGGAAUGGUCCAAAAGAGUUUUUCUGGAGCAUCACUUGCUAGACCAAUUGAGAUAUGUGACAUGCUGUUUUUCCCAAUAUUGCAUUUGAGGCAUUGGUUUCUGUUUGUUGUUGAUUUGAAAGAUGAGAGUUUUGUUUUCAUUGACUCCUUAUUUGAAGAAGAAGAAGACUAUCAAUACAAUGCUAGAUGCAGACUGAUAUCAAAAUUUUCAAUUGUAUGGAGGAAAUUUGUCCCUGAACAUCCAAUUAACUUUGCUAGUUUCAAGAUAAUAUACCCACCUCGUCCAAGACAAACAAAUCGCCUUGAUUGUGGUAUUUUUACUCUGAAAUUCAUGGAAAUUUGGCGUCCAAGAGUUCUGCUAACCAACCAGUUCUCUCAAAAAGACAUUCCUAACAUAAGGAUUCAAUAUGUCAACAAAUUAUUUUUCCAUCCAUGCAACAUUGUGCUGAACUCUACAACAAAGAAACUUGUUACUGACUAUUAUGCAAAGAGUCAACAAUUACAAGAUUUGCUGCAGAGUCCAACAAAAUUAAAUAAAAGGGAGAAGCAUUGA